CUGCNNAAGGAUCAUUAUUGNNUCCAGAGGGAUGUGCUGGCUCUCUUGUGGAGCAAUCGUGCACUCUCUCAAAUCUAACUCUAUUCACCUGUGCACACUUGGUAGGCAAGUAGGAUGGAAACUAUGUUUCCAUCUAUCAUUGCUUAUCGUCUUUUACACACCCUUUUAAAUGCCAUGAAUGUAACUGAAAUAAUAUAUAUAACAACUUUCAACAAUGGAUCUCUUGGUUCUCGCAUCGAUGAAGAACGCAGCGAAUUGCGAUAUGUAAUGUGAAUUGCAGAAUUCAGUGAAUCAUCGAAUCUUUGAACGCAUAUUGCACCCUCUGGUAUUCCGGAGGGUAUGCCUGUUUGAGUGCAUUAUUAUCUCAAAGCUUAGGAAACUUUUGUUACCUUUGCAUUUGGAUGUUGAAGGAUUUGCUGGCUCAUUUGCCAGCUCCUUUUAAAUGCAUUAGCUGGACUUUGCAGGACUAGCUUCAGUUUGAUACACUUUGGUUAUCUGAGCUGUUGUAAGAAUUGCAUCAUGGUCUUGCUUCUCAAAUUGUCCCCUCUUGUGGACUUUGUCCUCUGGACGAAUUAUAAUAUCAAACUUGACCUCAAAUCAGGUAGGACUACCCGCUGAACUUAAGCAUA
The sequence is a ribosomal RNA, 629 nucleotides long. The stretch from base 204 to 357 matches the Rfam family "5.8S ribosomal RNA".